This 400-nucleotide ribosomal RNA is filed under the name uncultured bacterium. Its description in RNAcentral is "bacterial SSU rRNA". It matches the Rfam family "Bacterial small subunit ribosomal RNA", at positions 355 to 772 of the family's 1533-position model. The record is from RNAcentral.
UGGGGAAUAUUGGACAAUGGGCGCAAGCCUGAUCCAGCAAUGCCGCGUGAGUGAAGAAGGCCUUAGGGUUGUAAAGCUCUUUUAGUAGGGAAGAUAAUGACGGUACCUACAGAAUAAGCACCGGCUAACUCCGUGCCAGCAGCCGCGGUAAUACGGAGGGUGCUAGCGUUAUUCGGAAUUACUGGGCGUAAAGAGCGCGUAGGCGGCUUUGUAAGUUGGAAGUGAAAUCCCAGAGCUUAACUUUGGAAUUGCUUUCAAUACUGCAGAGCUAGAGAAUGGUAGAGGAUGAUGGAAUUCCUAGUGUAGAGGUGAAAUUCGUAGAUAUUAGGAGGAACACCAGUGGCGAAGGCGGUCAUCUGGGCCAUUUCUGACGCUGUGGCGCGAAAGCGUGGGGAGCAAA